CGCAGAGCGGUGGAACGCACGCUAUGCGUUCCACUCGCUCGCGACCGGCAGAACACUUCCGGUUUCGCCGGAACUGGCCGCAAAACAGCCGGCUGGAACGCAAAUGCGUUCCAGCCCCCAGCCCCAAGCGCAAAAAGGGGGCCCAAGGAGCAGGGAACCCUGGGGCAUGUCCCAGGAACAGAGCAACAUACCCCCAAGCCAGAGAACAGGGAAGGGGCAAGAAGGAGGCCACAAGAGGAAGGGAGAGAGCUUCAUCAUGGAUUCCCCAAGAACUGCCUCAAGGUAUGAGGGGGGGGUAUAUAACCCCAAUUAGUAGGGGCAGGUAGAAAACAGGGGAAUUUUUAAGGCUUAACCAACCCCACCAUAGACCAGAGAAUUUAGUGUCUCCCUCAAACACUUAUUUCCCACGGUGCAGUUCAGUACUUACACUGAACCUGACCCAGUUAGUCCUGCUCAUGCAGGCUGUUUACUGGGCCCUUCAGAUGAAGAGAGGCUGAACUUCAUUUGGAACGAACCCACGACAAACGCAGGAAGGUGAGCC
Molecule: non-coding RNA, 541 nt
Organism: Pelobates cultripes (western spadefoot toad)
Lineage: Eukaryota; Metazoa; Chordata; Amphibia; Anura; Pelobatidae
Source: the annotation of a GenBank genome assembly